RNAcentral lists this ribosomal RNA (1045 nucleotides) under Vibrio parahaemolyticus. RNAcentral's name for it is "partial 23S ribosomal RNA". It matches the Rfam family "Bacterial large subunit ribosomal RNA", at positions 414 to 1467 of the family's 2925-position model. Lineage: Bacteria; Pseudomonadati; Pseudomonadota; Gammaproteobacteria; Vibrionales; Vibrionaceae. The record is from RNAcentral.
AGGGCGGGACACGUGAUAUCCUGUCUGAAUAUGGGGGGACCAUCCUCCAAGGCUAAAUACUACUGACUGACCGAUAGUGAACCAGUACCGUGAGGGAAAGGCGAAAAGAACCCCUGUGAGGGGAGUGAAAUAGAACCUGAAACCGUGUACGUACAAGCAGUAGGAGCAGGCUUUGUCCUGUGACUGCGUACCUUUUGUAUAAUGGGUCAGCGACUUAUAUUCAGUGGCAAGGUUAACCAUCUAGGGGAGCCGUAGGGAAACCGAGUCUUAACUGGGCGUUCAGUCUCUGGAUAUAGACCCGAAACCAGGUGAUCUAGCCAUGGGCAGGUUGAAGGUUGAGUAACAUCAACUGGAGGACCGAACCGACUAAUGUUGAAAAAUUAGCGGAUGACUUGUGGCUAGGGGUGAAAGGCCAAUCAAACCUGGAGAUAGCUGGUUCUCCCCGAAAGCUAUUUAGGUAGCGCCUCGGACGAAUACUACUGGGGGUAGAGCACUGUUAAGGCUAGGGGGUCAUCCCGACUUACCAACCCUUUGCAAACUCCGAAUACCAGUAAGUACUAUCCGGGAGACACACGGCGGGUGCUAACGUCCGUCGUGGAGAGGGAAACAACCCAGACCGCCAGCUAAGGUCCCAAAUUACUACUAAGUGGGAAACGAUGUGGGAAGGCUCAGACAGCCAGGAUGUUGGCUUAGAAGCAGCCAUCAUUUAAAGAAAGCGUAAUAGCUCACUGGUCGAGUCGGCCUGCGCGGAAGAUGUAACGGGGCUAAGUAGUAAACCGAAGCUGCGGCAAUGUGCUUUUGCACAUUGGGUAGGGGAGCGUUCUGUAAGCGGUUGAAGGUGUGUGGUAACGCAUGCUGGACGUAUCAGAAGUGCGAAUGCUGACAUGAGUAACGAUAAAGGGGGUGAAAAACCUCCUCGCCGGAAGACCAAGGGUUCCUGUCCAACGUUAAUCGGGGCAGGGUAAGUCGACCCCUAAGGCGAGGCCGAAAGGCGUAGUCGAUGGGAAACGGGUUAAUAUUCCCGUACUUCUUACAAUUGCGAUGG